Salvelinus fontinalis (brook trout) is the source of this 211-nucleotide long non-coding RNA. RefSeq lists it as uncharacterized. NCBI's taxonomy places the organism in Eukaryota, Metazoa, Chordata, Actinopteri, Salmoniformes, Salmonidae. The transcript has 3 exons. The record is from RefSeq and is a predicted model, not a curated record.
GUCCAGGUACUAGCAGGUAGACAGCCCAGGUACUAGCAGGUAGACAGCCCAGGUACUAGCAGGUAGAAGGUAGACAGUCCAGGUACUAGCAGGUAGACAGUCCAGGUACUAGCAGGUACUACCUCUAUCCAGAGCAGGUAGAAGGUAGACAGUCCAGGUACUAGCAGGUAGAAGGUAGACAGUCCAGGUACUAGCAGGUAGACAGUCCAGG